UACGAAGGGGGCUAGCGUUGUUCGGAUUUACUGGGCGUACAGGGAGCGUAGGCGGUUGGAUAAGCCCUCCGUGAAAUCUCCAGGCUUAACCUGGAAAGUGCAGAGGGGACUGUUCAGCUAGAGGAUGGGAGAGGAGCGCGGAAUUCCCGGUGUAGCGGUGAAAUGCGUAGAGAUCGGGAGGAAGGCCGGUGGCGAAGGCGGCGCUCUGGAACAUUUCUGACGCUGAGGCUCGAAAGCGUGGGGAGCAAACAGG
Molecule: ribosomal RNA, 253 nt
Filed under: uncultured bacterium
Lineage: Bacteria
Description: partial 16S ribosomal RNA
Rfam family: Bacterial small subunit ribosomal RNA
Source: RNAcentral